RNAcentral lists this ribosomal RNA (428 nucleotides) under uncultured bacterium. RNAcentral's name for it is "bacterial SSU rRNA". It matches the Rfam family "Bacterial small subunit ribosomal RNA", at positions 355 to 774 of the family's 1533-position model. The record is from RNAcentral.
UGGGGAAUAUUGCGCAAUGGGCGAAAGCCUGACGCAGCGACGCCGCGUGAGGGAUGAAGGUCUUUGGAUCGUAAACCUCUGUCAAGGGGGAAGAAAGGCACGGGUGUGAAUAAUACCUGUGAUUGACGGUACCCCUAAAGGAAGCACCGGCUAACUCCGUGCCAGCAGCCGCGGUAAUACGGAGGGUGCGAGCGUUAUCCGGAUUUAUUGGGUUUAAAGGGUGCGUAGGCUGUUAUGUAAGUCAGCGGUGAAAUACCUAAGCUCAACUUAGGGGCUGCCGUUGAUACUGCAUAGCUGGAAUAUGGUUGCUGUUGGCGGAAUGUGUAGUGUAGCGGUGAAAUGCAUAGAUAUUAGGAGGAACACCAGUGGCGAAGGCGGCCUGCUGGGCUUUUACUGACGCUGAGGCUCGAAAGUGUGGGUAUCAAACA